UCCGUACAAGUAAAAUGAGGCCAAUGAAAGUUGAUGAGCUGAGGAAAUAGAGUAAAAAAUCAAAGUGCCUCUUUGCUUGAAACAGCCAGACUUCGGGGUUUAGGCCACUGAAACGGGGUAGUUCAACCACAGCUAGUUUGUGUCUCAUCAUCACUGAUGCCGCUGGGGAAGCUCUGUGAAACAAACACAUCUCUACUGAAAGGAUAUGAGUUGGUUCUACUGCCGCUGUCUACGAGGGUACGUUAAUGAAGUCUUGCAACAGUUUCUGUUGGUUAUCGAAAACAAAAUACAGAUACGCAACUGGGGAAGAUGGAUCUGCAAAUUGCUGUUGAUAAACACCAUUAUUAGAAGAUUUGAGUUUUGAAUCACCCAUGGAGUCCGCUGGAUGAAAAGCACCAAUGUAACAAAUAAAUAAAUCUGUGCCAACUUCUUGAUUGAAUAUUCAAAUGCAACUAUUACAAACUAGGAACUCUGUCUAGAAAAAGGAAACUGCAGAAAUAAAUACGAAGCUGAAUGGAAUUAGAAAUAAGAAGGAAACUUGGAGAAGAAGUGCGGGAAGAGAACCUAGACAAUACUGAUAACUAACUGCCUACCCAUUUUCCUCAUAUUCCCUGCUAUUUGCAACCACUCUGGACCUUCUUCCUGAUCAUUCUUGUGCUGAGUCACCCUUCCAAAUGAAAUCAGCUAGUCUUCUACUGGGUUGUUUAAUUCUAUUACUUCUUCUUAGAUUAGUUCCAGACCUAAUAUUCUCUUCAAACGACUCCACCCCAGGCCCACACAUUUCUUCAUCUGAUUCUAGGCCCAAUUCUUGAACUGCAGCUCUAACUUCUCAUCCUCCUGAGAAUUUGAUUAAUUGAUUUCAUUUUAUUUUCAUAUCCAAAAUUUGUCAUGAACAAAUUAAUAGCACAUCAGUUGGGACCAACUAUGUCCUUCAUGUCUUCCUGUCUGCGCAAGCUAAAUCAACAUGCUUCAUUUUCUACGUUCCUUUUUAGGGGGUAAAAUUCAUUCUGCAAAGUUGGUUCAGUGGUUCCUCUAGAAGUUGAUAUAAUAUGAAUUAAUGCGUUAGAAAGGGAGGCAGAGAAUUCCAGGAAUGUAGUCUUCUUCUUUUUCAUCAUCCAGGAAUGUAAACAAAAUUUGCAAAUAUUCUACUAGAUGACUUAGCUUAAUUAAAAUGAAAAAGAAAUAUAAUAGUUCUAUAUUUUAAAUAGAAGAUUGGUACAAUUAUAUGUCUUCUCUUCUUUCCUUAAUUUUAAUUUGCUUCCACAUAUUUCAACCCCAAUAGGCCAAUACAAUGUAAAGGUUUUUUUGGUUGGUCUUAUGACAGGCUGCAAUUGGCGAAGCCAUAAUAAAAGGUAUAGGUUCGGUAGAACAUAGUUUAGCUCAAAACCUGUAGUUUAAUAAAGAAAUUCACUUUAUAUACAACAAUGAACCAAAUAAGGCAAAAAAGUUAUGGCCAAAAUGCAUAAACUUAAAAUCUUGAAUCCAACUAUAUUUAACGCAGCCCAACUUCAUAUUAUAACAAGUAUGCUUCAAAAUGCGAACUAGGUUUUAAUUAAUAUUGCUCCAAGAGAUGAGAAGAAUCAUUUUAUUACGAAUUACAGCUUGAUGAUGGGUUGCUUCCAUAGGAUCUAUCGUCCAACUUGCACAAUAGAAAUAUCUUUAAGAGAAUAUGCACAAUAAAUAAUUGGAGAGAAAAGAGAGCAGACUAAAGAUGAAAGUAACAGAAGAAAGAGUGGAGAAUUUUGAAAAAGAAAUUUGAGCUGAGGAUAAUAUAUUGAUAUUCCCUUUGGUUGGCACACGAAAGAGAUACGUCUAUCUACUUAUCUGCAAAUUUGACAAGAGUAAUGGAUGAUGACAUUCAUGCUUCAUCCAUUACAUAAAGAUUGGGACAGAUUUACCUUUUCAAUCAUAGGUGCAAAUGCACCUUUUACUAUCGAAUCUCAUAUAUGAAAAUUUUCAAGCAUACAUAGGAAUCCUUUUAGAAUAGAUAUAUAAUAUAUGUAUAAUAAGUAUGUCUUUUUUAUCACAAUAGAAUAGUAAACGUAAUGAUACUAUGGGCGUACUCUUACCGGAAAUGGCAUGGACCAUGUGUCAUUUUAAUUAUUGGAAUUGUUCCAAUAUUGGAAUGCCAGUCGCAAAAUAUUGGAAUUGUUCCAAAGUUUUAC
RNAcentral lists this long non-coding RNA (2165 nucleotides) under Nicotiana benthamiana. RNAcentral's name for it is "long non-coding RNA (NBEN_LNC017362)". The record is from RNAcentral. Lineage: Eukaryota; Viridiplantae; Streptophyta; Magnoliopsida; Solanales; Solanaceae.